GUCUUUUUGAGUAUAAUUUAAAGUCGAAUCUGCCCACUGAUUAUUAAUUAAAGGGCUGCAGUAUUUUGACUGUACAAAGGUAGCAUAAUAAUUAGUCUUUUAAUUGAAGACUUGUAUGAAAGAUUUGAUGAGAUAUAAACUGUCUCUUUUUUAUAAUUAGAAUUUAAUUUUUCAGUAAAAAAGCUGAAAUUAUUUUAAAAGACGAGAAGACCCUAUAGAGUUUUAUAAUUAAAUUAGUUAUAUAUUUUUAUUUAAAUUAAAAAUUAAUUGAUUUAAUUAUUUUGUUGGGGUGAUAAAAAAAUUAAAUUAACUUUUUUUUUUAAAUUGAACAUUAAUUUAUGAAUAAUUGAUCCAUAAUUUAUGAUUAAAAGAAAAAAUUACCUUAGGGAUAACAGCGUAAUUUUUUUUUUUAGUUCUUAUAAGAAAAAAAGUUUGCGACCUCGAUGUUGGAUUAAGAUAAAAUUUAAAUGCAGAAGUUUAAAAUUUUGAUCUGUUCGAUCAUUAAAAUCUUACA
RNAcentral lists this ribosomal RNA (514 nucleotides) under Zenonoida eltola. Its description in RNAcentral is "partial 16S ribosomal RNA". The stretch from base 388 to 514 matches the Rfam family "Bacterial large subunit ribosomal RNA", at positions 2473 to 2600 of the family's 2925-position model. Lineage: Eukaryota; Metazoa; Arthropoda; Insecta; Lepidoptera; Hesperiidae. The record is from RNAcentral.